Long non-coding RNA from Rhipicephalus sanguineus (brown dog tick), 388 nucleotides. RefSeq lists it as uncharacterized. Lineage: Eukaryota; Metazoa; Arthropoda; Arachnida; Ixodida; Ixodidae. The transcript has 3 exons. The record is from RefSeq and is a predicted model, not a curated record.
GCAGCUAUUCGGAUAACCUACUUCUUUCGGUCGGUCAUCUUGUUCUUCUGCGGGUUACAGCUCGUGUGUGGGUGGGUGUAUGCGUGCGAGCGAGUGUUUGCUUGCUUGCUUGCUUGCUUGCUUACAACCAUGCCGGCCUGUCGCUGACAAAUAGUGCAACGAUUCUACAACAGGUGCCUCGCUUUCUUUUCUUCACCGCUGUUUGUACAAGACAUGAGGCCCGAGACCACGCCAGCUUGUGUGAAAGCCAGCGCAGUUUCUUUGACGGGACCUGGAGUGCAUUCAUGCAGAACUUGAAUUUAUGUUGCUGCUGCGUCAAUCAGCUUCACCUUGUGCGGUCACCUUCUGUCGUAUUUUGUGCCACAUUCGGUGCGCUUUAUUCAUUAAU